This is a long non-coding RNA of Acipenser ruthenus (sterlet), 367 nucleotides long. RefSeq lists it as uncharacterized. Lineage: Eukaryota; Metazoa; Chordata; Actinopteri; Acipenseriformes; Acipenseridae. The transcript is spliced from 3 exons. The record is from RefSeq and is a predicted model, not a curated record.
GCGAGGUGUGAGCGAAAGCCUGCAUCACCAGAGAAUUCAGCUCCUCCUUAUCAGCAAAUCCAGAUCUCAGUCUCCCUAGAGCAAAGGCAGCGCGCACCAGAACAGGAUCUUCCUGUCCUCCGUCAUCUCAAUGGAGGCCACAGGGGUGACCAGGACCUGCACUUUGUACUUCUCCAGGAUCCCCUGCUUCGUCAGCUGCACUCUACAGUUCAGGGCCGUCUGCCCUCCAAAUGCCAACAAGACCCCAUCGGGACGCUCGUUUUUAAUCACCUGGAGGGCUUUGAUUGCUGUCACAAAGACGGCCGGAGUGGGUGGCGUCAGACCAGAGCCAGGAAAUAAACAGACAGAGAGGUGUGGUUUGAUGGAG